This is a long non-coding RNA of Labrus mixtus (cuckoo wrasse), 595 nucleotides long. RefSeq lists it as uncharacterized. NCBI's taxonomy places the organism in Eukaryota, Metazoa, Chordata, Actinopteri, Labriformes, Labridae. The transcript is spliced from 3 exons. The record is from RefSeq and is a predicted model, not a curated record.
UCUGCUCUGCACUUGUAUCACUUUACCUCCUGGCUGCAUUACCUGUCUACUUUCUGUCCUUUCAGCUGCACCUUUAUUCACUCACACAACGACGAGCACGGCUUACCUUUGCUCGAGCAGAAGGACUCCAUGCUGAUCAUUUUCAGUGAAGUUCAUGGAACUUAAAAGAGUUGCUGCUGCGACUUUAUCCUGACAGCUUUCCUUCACAGCUAGCUCCCUCUCUUCUUUUUUGAUCCCAGUGUGCCACGCCGGAUCUUUGACUUUCUCUCACUAUCAGUGCUCUCUUCUUCGCUCUCGCUUUCAAACACGUCACGCUGUGUAGAUCAACAGAAUGGGAGUCUCCCCCUCCUCCUUCACAGGUCUGCUGACCGGGACGCUACUCUGUUUUGGUUCUUAGUAUCCCAGUGCCACACCCAGAUUCCUGCAGUAGUUCCAGGAUGAGCCUGAUGCUUUGACCACAAACAUAUAGGAGAUAUAUCUACUCCCUCUCUCUAAUUCUUAUCCAAACAAGCUAAGGGCUAAUUAAACAUUCACCAGCUCAUAGCAUCUUACCUCAUAACUGUUAGCAGUACUUUUUUUUUUUUUUUUGCCUCAA